This is an unclassified non-coding RNA of Papio anubis (olive baboon), 148 nucleotides long. It matches the Rfam family "Metazoan signal recognition particle RNA". Rfam says of the family: The signal recognition particle (SRP) is a universally conserved ribonucleoprotein. NCBI's taxonomy places the organism in Eukaryota, Metazoa, Chordata, Mammalia, Primates, Cercopithecidae. The record is from Ensembl.
GCUGGGUGUGGUGGUGCGUGCCUGUAGUCCCAGCUGCUUGGGAGGCUGAGGCAGGAGAAUCGCUUGAACCCAGGAGACCAAGGUUGCAGUGAGCCAAGAUGGUGUCACUGCACUCCAGCCUGGGUGACAGAGCAAGACUCCGUCUCAA